UACGUAGGGUGCGAGCGUUAAUCGGAAUUACUGGGCGUAAAGCGUGCGCAGGCGGUCGUGCAAGACAGGCGUGAAAUCCCCGGGCUUAACCUGGGAACUGCACUUGUGACUGCACGGCUGGAGUACGGCAGAGGGGGAUGGAAUUCCGCGUGUAGCAGUGAAAUGCGUAGAUAUGCGGAGGAACACCGAUGGCGAAGGCAGCCCCCUGGGCCUGUACUGACGCUCAUGCACGAAAGCGUGGGGAGCAAACAGG
RNAcentral lists this ribosomal RNA (253 nucleotides) under uncultured bacterium. RNAcentral's name for it is "partial 16S ribosomal RNA". It matches the Rfam family "Bacterial small subunit ribosomal RNA", at positions 524 to 776 of the family's 1533-position model. The record is from RNAcentral.